AACCAGCAACGCCGCGUGUUCGAUGAAGGCCUUCGGGUUGUAAAGCACCUUUUGAGGGGAAGAGGAAGGACAGUACCCUCAGAAUAAGUCUCGGCUAACUACGCGCCAGCCGCCGCGGUAACACAAAGGAGACCAGCGUUAUCCUGAUUUACUGCGCGUAAAGCGCGUGCAGGUGGCUCGGAAAGUUCGAUGUGAACGCUCCCGGCUUAACGUGGAGAGGUCGUUGCAUACUUUCGGGCUAGAAGAUGGGAGAAGGAGGCGGAAUUCCGGGUGUAGUGGUGAAAUGCGUAGAUAUCCGGAGGAACACCAGUGGCGAAAGCGGCCUCCUGGCCCAUAUCUGACACUCAGACGCGAAAG
RNAcentral lists this ribosomal RNA (357 nucleotides) under uncultured bacterium. Its description in RNAcentral is "bacterial SSU rRNA". It matches the Rfam family "Bacterial small subunit ribosomal RNA", at positions 386 to 759 of the family's 1533-position model. The record is from RNAcentral.